AACGGGGCAUGCCUUAGUACGGCGAGUGAGCGGCAAAAGCUCAAAUUUGAAAUCUGGUACCUUCGGUGCCCGAGUUGUAAUUUGGAGAGGGCAACUUUGGGGCCGUUCCUUGUCUAUGUUCCUUGGAACAGGACGUCAUAGAGGGUGAGAAUCCCGUGUGGCGAGGAGUGCGGUUCUUUGUAAAGUGCCUUCGAAGAGUCGAGUUGUUUGGGAAUGCAGCUCUAAGUGGGUGGUAAAUUCCAUCUAAAGCUAAAUAUUGGCGAGAGACCGAUAGCGAACAAGUACAGUGAUGGAAAGAUGAAAAGAACUUUGAAAAGAGAGUGAAAAAGUACGUGAAAUUGUUGAAAGGGAAGGGCAUUUGAUCAGACAUGGUGUUUUGUGCCCUCUGCUCCUUGUGGGUAGGGGAAUCUCGCAUUUCACUGGGCCAGCAUCAGUUUUGGUGGCAGGAUAAAUCCAUAGGAAUGUAGCUUGCCUCGGUAAGUAUUAUAGCCUGUGGGAAUACUGCCAGCUGGGACUGAGGACUGCGACGUAAGUCAAGGAUGCUGGCAUAAUGGUUAUAUGCCGCCCGUCUUGAACCCCCGAACC
RNAcentral lists this ribosomal RNA (585 nucleotides) under Saccharomyces cerevisiae (brewer's yeast). RNAcentral describes it as "eukaryotic LSU rRNA". It matches the Rfam family "Eukaryotic large subunit ribosomal RNA", at positions 67 to 667 of the family's 3401-position model. The record is from RNAcentral. Lineage: Eukaryota; Fungi; Ascomycota; Saccharomycetes; Saccharomycetales; Saccharomycetaceae.